GAUGAACGCUGGCGGCGUGCUUAACACAUGCAAGUUGAACGAAGCAAUUUAGCGGAAGUUUUCGGAUGGAAGUUAAAUUGACUGAGUGGCGGACGGGUGAGUAACGCGUGGGUAACCUGCCUCACACUGGGGGACAACAGUUAGAAAUGACUGCUAAUACCGCAUAAGCGCACAGGACCGCAUGGUCCGGUGUGAAAAACUCCGGUGGUGUGAGAUGGACCCGCGUUUGAUUAGCUAGUUGGUGGGGUAACGGCCUACCAAGGCGACGAUCAAUAGCCGACCUGAGAGGGUGACCGGCCACAUUGGGACUGAGACACGGCCCAAACUCCUACGGGAGGCAGCAGUGGGGAAUAUUGCACAAUGGGGGAAACCCUGAUGCAGCGACGCCGCGUGAGUGAAGAAGUAUUUCGGUAUGUAAAGCUCUAUCAGCAGGGAAGAAAAUGACGGUACCUGACUAAGAAGCCCCGGCUA
RNAcentral lists this ribosomal RNA (471 nucleotides) under uncultured bacterium. Its description in RNAcentral is "bacterial SSU rRNA". It matches the Rfam family "Bacterial small subunit ribosomal RNA", at positions 28 to 499 of the family's 1533-position model. The record is from RNAcentral.